RNAcentral lists this transfer RNA (68 nucleotides) under Ovis aries (sheep). It matches the Rfam family "tRNA". From Rfam's summary of the family: Transfer RNA (tRNA) molecules are approximately 80 nucleotides in length. Their secondary structure includes four short double-helical elements and three loops (D, anti-codon, and T loops). The record is from Rfam by way of RNAcentral. Lineage: Eukaryota; Metazoa; Chordata; Mammalia; Artiodactyla; Bovidae.
CCUGGUGGCUCACUGGUAAAGAAUCUGUCUGCCAAGCAGGAGACCAGGGUUCAAUCCCUGGGUCAGGA